RNAcentral lists this unclassified non-coding RNA (456 nucleotides) under uncultured Glomus. RNAcentral's name for it is "SSU rRNA". It matches the Rfam family "Eukaryotic small subunit ribosomal RNA", at positions 569 to 1031 of the family's 1831-position model. Lineage: Eukaryota; Fungi; Glomeromycota; Glomeromycetes; Glomerales; Glomeraceae. The record is from RNAcentral.
AGCAGCCGCGGUAAUUCCAGCUCCAAUAGCGUAUAUUAAAGUUGUUGCAGUUAAAAAGCUCGUAGUUGAAUUUCGGGAUCAAGGAAUCGGUCAUGCCUCGGUAUGUACUGGUUUUAUUGGUUCUCACCUUCUAAAGAACCAUGAUGUCAUUCAUUUGAUGUUAUGGGGAAUUAGGACUGUUACCUUGAAAAAUUAGAGUGUUUAAAGCAGGCUUACGCUUGAAUACAUUAGCAUGGAAUAAUGAAAUAGGACAUCAGAUUCUAUUUUGUUGGUUUCUAGGAUCGAUGUAAUGAUUAAUAGGGAUAGUUGGGGGCAUUAGUAUUCAAUUGUCAGAGGUGAAAUUCUUGGAUUUAUUGAAGACUAACUACUGCGAAAGCAUUUGCCAAGGAUGUUUUCAUUAAUCAAGAACGAAAGUUAGGGGAUCGAAGACGAUCAGAUACCGUCGUAGUCUUAACC